AGGGCCCGCAGCUUCCGGCACUGGAAGAGCUCCGGAGGGAGCGUCUCGAUCUGGAGGGAAAAAAGCAGGGAUGGGGUAACUGAGGCCCAAAGACGCUGACUUGUCCAGAGGUUCAGCUGGAAUCUCCACCUGGAUGUGAGGCCCAGGAAAACCUGCAGGUCCCCAGGACGGGUGGAAGAGGGACGUUCCCCACAAUGGCAGUGGCUUUGUUUCCAUUUCGGAGGCCAGACCACAGAGCCACAGGAGUACCCAGCCCUCCAUCCACACUGCCUGCCUCCACCAAGGGGCCCUUGGAUGGGGGCUUCCCCAGCCAGAAGGGCAGGCAGAAACAAACUAGCCCCAUCUAGGCCCAACUCUGCCUCUGACACCACCAAAUGCAGUGGAGAAAGGUGUGUGGGAGCUGCAGAGACCAUCCAAGGCUUCCCCUCAGCCAGCACUGGCCACCCACACAGUUUCUGUCCUGGGUGGACCCGGAUUGGCUCCUUGCCUCCAAGUCCGACUGGGAACAAGCUGAGGAAGACACAAACUCCAGGCUAAGUCUUGACUCCCACCACCCGGCUUUGCGAGAGAACCCCCGGGUUUGGACCUCCUGCCCAAGCACAUCCCUGCUGAAGAGGAACCCGGCUCAAGGUCACCUUGGGGGACAGACCUUGCCUGGCCAUGCAGUCUCUCCAGGCAGGAGAACUGCAACAUUUUGGAGCAAAGACAGGCCCGGGGCCCAGAGAUUCGGAUUCAGCAGGCCUGGGAUGGGGCCCAAGGAGUCUGUCUCUUGAACAGAGCUUCUAUCCUGGAUGGUUCUGUAAACCCCAGGUGAGGACUCCACACUCAGGGGCAUCGACGGUCCCAGGACACUGAGCCUGCCGAGUGCCCCACCACAAGCCCUGGCCAGGCCACCCGCCAGCCCACACGCAGAGCUGUGGCCGGGCCACUCACCCGGUUG
RNAcentral lists this long non-coding RNA (940 nucleotides) under Homo sapiens (human). Its description in RNAcentral is "HSALNT0355013". The record is from RNAcentral. Lineage: Eukaryota; Metazoa; Chordata; Mammalia; Primates; Hominidae.